UGGGGAAUUUUGCACAAUGGGGGAAACCCUGAUGCAGCGACGCCGCGUGAUUUAGAAGGCCUUCGGGUUGUAAAACUCUUUUUUAUGGGAUGAAAAUGACAGUACCAUAAGAAUAAGGUCCGGCUAAAUACGUGCCAGCAGCCGCGGUAAUACGUAUGGACCGAGCGUUGUCCGGAAUCAUUGGGCGUAAAGGGUACGUAGGCGGCCCAGUAAGUUAGAAGUGAAAUAAUAUAGCUCAACUAUAUAAAGCUUUUAAAACUGCUAGGCUUGAGAGAUGGAAGGGAAAGUGGAAUUCCUAGUGUAGCGGUGAAAUGCGCAGAUAUUAGGAAGAAUACCGGUGGCGAAGGCGACUUUCUGGUCAUCAUCUGACGCUGAGGUACGAAAGCGUGGGUAGCAAACAGG
This 402-nucleotide ribosomal RNA is filed under the name Verrucomicrobiota bacterium. RNAcentral describes it as "Verrucomicrobia bacterium partial 16S ribosomal RNA". It matches the Rfam family "Bacterial small subunit ribosomal RNA", at positions 355 to 776 of the family's 1533-position model. The record is from RNAcentral. Lineage: Bacteria; Pseudomonadati; Verrucomicrobiota.